This is a non-coding RNA of Aegilops tauschii subsp. strangulata, 1713 nucleotides long. Lineage: Eukaryota; Viridiplantae; Streptophyta; Magnoliopsida; Poales; Poaceae. The record is from RefSeq and is a predicted model, not a curated record.
CCUCCUCCCCCGCACUCCCGCCGCCCCGUCUUCUCUUCGUCCCGCCUCGCCCCUCUCUCUCCCUCCAAACCCUACCCCGCGCACGCCUCCCUACCCCGCCGCCAUCUCCUUCGCCGCCGGGAGCUCGCCCGGGAUGACUGCCGCGGGGUUCCUGGUGGGCUUCCUCCUCGGCCUGCUCGCGCUCACGGAGGCCGAGGCGGCCGCGCUGCUCUGGUUCGUGCUCCGCCUCCGCCGCCGGCGAGGCUCCGGUGGACUCGGACGGCUCCUCUCCGUCUCCUCCCUCGCCCCCACGUGUGGUUCCGCUUCCCGCUGGCCACGAGGUGCAGCCUUGCAGGGGCGCAUCGGGCUGGGCCUCUGUUUCCGAUAUGGUGCAGCAGCUGCUGUGGGGUUGAGGUGUUCUGGCAACGGUAGGAGCUCCGGGCCCGUCCAGGUUAACCUCUCUCUCUCUCUCCCUCUCUCUCUCCUGAUUUCGUAGCCCUCAUGUGCUUGCUUGCUUUUUGCUCUGAGUUGUGGCCGUCCAGAUUAGCUAGGGUUCAAGCUUUGGCAGCCUAUAUGGUGGUCACUAUUCUUGUCAUGUGCUUUAACUCUACAACCUAGCUUGGGUUCCCUCAUGUGCUUGCUGGUCUGCCUGUCUAAUUAGGCUUAGGUCUGGUGCUCCAUCUAUGCUGAUUUUCAGAAACUGUUGCCCAGAGAGAUCUCCAUGAAGCAUUGCGCCUGAUGCAGAUGUCAAAGUAUUCAAUCUACUCUGAUGACCACCAGCGGUGUAGUCUUGGUACAUAUACUGCAUCCUGAGAGAUAAAGCAGCAAGGACUAGCAGCAUGGAUGUGAAAUAUGGUCAUGCUCUUAACCUGAUCUCCAGAAAGAUUUCUAUAUCUCCUGAAGCAAGAAAAGUAUUUUGAUGGAGCACAAUUGAUGUAGGUAAGCUUACUUGCGUAAUUCAAAAACCUGAAACUUCUUAACAGUAACUCAAUUAUUACAUAACUCGAUUUUCUUCAUCUUCAACUGUGUUCCGUUUUUGACACUGGUGUUCCGUUUUUCUUAUUCAUGCUUGCAAUAUUUUUAGUUUUUUAUGAUUUUGUAUAGCCAAUGUGCAUACUGUCCAGUGUAGGCAUCUACUACCUUUGCAGUUGCCUCCUCAUUUUCCUUUUAUUACUACAUGUGAUUUUUAUUAGCUGAUCUGUGGCUUGAUUUUCAUUUGUAGAUUCAAACUACUCUCCUGUGAGGAUUUGUUCUGCUAUACAUUUUCCUUUCAUUUCCCAUCCAGGUUGUGUUCAAAUGAUAGGUGGCAUUGCAAAUUAUGACCAGUUUAAAUGUUGUUUAGUGAGCCUCCAUCUGCCAAUUGGAAAUAAACUGAGGGACCUGAAGUUUCAUCUAUUAGGAGAAGCCGGUGCUUGUGCGGGUUGCCGGAUUAAUCAAGAUGGAAGCUGGUGCAAUAAGAGUCCCAUCGGUACCAUUGCCUGUGACCAUGAUGCAGACAUUCACUCUAGGAUUUGAGAUUUUCUUUUCUCAUCCCCUACGAUAGAUUAUAGUUCAAGGAGUGAAUUCAUCCACGUCUACAUAUUUUCAUCUUUUGUUGUGUUUUGGCAUAACCAUUAUCUGAUUUGAGUUUUUGUAAGCGUGCUGAAGUCUUAUUGAUUGUGUUCCUGCAAAUAAACAUGAUCACCAAAUGGGCGUCUUCUGAAAAUUAAGAGAAUUAACUAAUUGUAUAUGCUA